Molecule: non-coding RNA, 281 nt
Organism: Schizosaccharomyces pombe (fission yeast)
Lineage: Eukaryota; Fungi; Ascomycota; Schizosaccharomycetes; Schizosaccharomycetales; Schizosaccharomycetaceae
Source: the annotation of a GenBank genome assembly
CAAUCAUCUUCCUCAACCAAGUCUGUAUAACGUUUUUGCAUUCCUUUAUUAUAAAAAAAACAUACCUUACGAGGAUUGCGCUUCAUUUUGAAGUUCUUAUGGCACUUGCUGCGACAGAAACGAAAGACCUUGGAGUCAUUUCUAACAAACAUUAUUCCAUGUCCUGGGUAAACAGGACCCGAGCAGAAAUAGCAAGUAUGUACCCUAAAUUUCCGUUAGUAAUAAAUACUUUGAAGGCAUUUAGCUCUACAAACCUCAUAUUCCCCCUAAAUUCUUUCCCG